RNAcentral lists this ribosomal RNA (253 nucleotides) under uncultured bacterium. RNAcentral describes it as "partial 16S ribosomal RNA". It matches the Rfam family "Bacterial small subunit ribosomal RNA", at positions 524 to 776 of the family's 1533-position model. The record is from RNAcentral.
UACGUAGGGAGCAAGCGUUGUCCGGAAUCAUUGGGCGUAAAGCGCGCGUAGGUGGCUUCAUAAGUCCGUUGUGAAAGUCAAAGGCUCAACCUUUGAAAGCCGAUGGAUACUGUGGAGCUAGAGUACGGAAGAGGAGAGUGGAAUUCCUGGUGUAGCGGUGAAAUGCGCAGAUAUCAGGAAGAACACCCGUGGCGAAGGCGGCUCUCUGGUACGUGACUGACGCUGAGACGCGAAAGCGUGGGGAGCAAACAGG